This 409-nucleotide ribosomal RNA is filed under the name bacterium. Its description in RNAcentral is "partial 16S ribosomal RNA". It matches the Rfam family "Bacterial small subunit ribosomal RNA", at positions 355 to 776 of the family's 1533-position model. The record is from RNAcentral.
UGGGGAAUAUUGCACAAUGGGCGAAAGCCUGAUGCAGCGACGCCGCGUGAGGGAUGACGGCCUUCGGGUUGUAAACCUCUUUCAGUAGGGACGAAGCGCAAGUGACGGUACCUGCAGAAGAAGCACCGGCUAACUACGUGCCAGCAGCCGCGGUAAUACGUAGGGUGCGAGCGUUGUCCGGAAUUACUGGGCGUAAAGAGCUCGUAGGCGGUUUGUCACGUCGUCUGUGAAAUCCUAGGGCUUAACCCUGGACGUGCAGGCGAUACGGGCUGACUUGGGUACUACAGGGGAGACUGGAAUGUCUGGUGUAGCGGUGGAAUGCACAGAUAUCAGGAAGAACACCGAUGGCGAAGGCAGGUCUCUGGGUAGUAACUGACGCUGAGGAGCGAAAGCAUGGGUAGCGAACAGG